Molecule: ribosomal RNA, 253 nt
Filed under: uncultured Lachnospiraceae bacterium
Lineage: Bacteria; Bacillati; Bacillota; Clostridia; Lachnospirales; Lachnospiraceae
Description: partial 16S ribosomal RNA
Rfam family: Bacterial small subunit ribosomal RNA
Source: RNAcentral
UACGUAGGGGGCAAGCGUUAUCCGGAUUUACUGGGUGUAAAGGGAGCGUAGACGGCAUGGCAAGUCUGAUGUGAAAACCCGGGGCUCAACCCCGGGACUGCAUUGGAAACUGUCAGGCUAGAGUGUCGGAGAGGCAAGUGGAAUUCCUAGUGUAGCGGUGAAAUGCGUAGAUAUCAGGAGGAACACCGGCGGCGAAGGCGGCUUACUGGACUGUAACUGACGUUGAGGCUCGAAGGCGUGGGGAGCAAACAGG